This 612-nucleotide ribosomal RNA is filed under the name uncultured Roseateles sp. Its description in RNAcentral is "bacterial SSU rRNA". It matches the Rfam family "Bacterial small subunit ribosomal RNA", at positions 61 to 675 of the family's 1533-position model. Lineage: Bacteria; Pseudomonadati; Pseudomonadota; Betaproteobacteria; Burkholderiales; Sphaerotilaceae. The record is from RNAcentral.
GUCGAACGGUAACAGGUUAAGCUGACGAGUGGCGAACGGGUGAGUAAUGUAUCGGAACGUGCCCAGUCGUGGGGGAUAACUGCUCGAAAGAGCAGCUAAUACCGCAUACGACCUGAGGGUGAAAGCGGGGGAUCGCAAGACCUCGCGCGAUUGGAGCGGCCGAUAUCAGAUUAGGUAGUUGGUGAGGUAAAGGCUCACCAAGCCGACGAUCUGUAGCUGGUCUGAGAGGACGACCAGCCACACUGGGACUGAGACACGGCCCAGACUCCUACGGGAGGCAGCAGUGGGGAAUUUUGGACAAUGGGCGCAAGCCUGAUCCAGCCAUGCCGCGUGCGGGAAGAAGGCCUUCGGGUUGUAAACCGCUUUUGUCAGGGAAGAAAAGGUUCUGGCUAAUACCUGGGACUCAUGACGGUACCUGAAGAAUAAGCACCGGCUAACUACGUGCCAGCAGCCGCGGUAAUACGUAGGGUGCAAGCGUUAAUCGGAAUUACUGGGCGUAAAGCGUGCGCAGGCGGUUAUGCAAGACAGAGGUGAAAUCCCCGGGCUCAACCUGGGAACUGCCUUUGUGACUGCAUGGCUAGAGUACGGUAGAGGGGGAUGGAAUUCCGCGUG